AGAACGGCGGACUGUUAAUCCGUAUGUCGCUGGUUCAAGUCCAGCAAAGGGAG
RNAcentral lists this transfer RNA (53 nucleotides) under Vibrio genomosp. F10. RNAcentral describes it as "Vibrio sp. F10 tRNA". It matches the Rfam family "tRNA", at positions 20 to 71 of the family's 71-position model. From Rfam's summary of the family: Transfer RNA (tRNA) molecules are approximately 80 nucleotides in length. Their secondary structure includes four short double-helical elements and three loops (D, anti-codon, and T loops). The record is from Rfam by way of RNAcentral. Lineage: Bacteria; Pseudomonadati; Pseudomonadota; Gammaproteobacteria; Vibrionales; Vibrionaceae.